AUUAAAUCAGCUAUGGUUCCUUAGAUCGUAAAURCUACAUGGAUAACUGUAGUAAUUCUAGAGCUAAUACAUGCCUUGAAUCCCUGACCCGCAAGGGAACGGGUGCAUUUAUUAGAACAGAACCAAYCGGGCGCGGCUUCGGCUGUGCCUGYUACAUUCUGUGAUGACUCUGGAUAACUUUACUGAUCGCAGUCGGCCUUGUGUCGGCGACGGAUCUUUCAAAUGUCUGCCCUAUCAAUUUGUUGGUAGGUGAUUUGCCUACCAUGAUGAUAACGGGUAACGGGGAAUCAGGGUUCGAUU
This 300-nucleotide ribosomal RNA is filed under the name Schistosoma haematobium x Schistosoma mattheei. RNAcentral describes it as "SSU rRNA". It matches the Rfam family "Eukaryotic small subunit ribosomal RNA", at positions 100 to 384 of the family's 1831-position model. Lineage: Eukaryota; Metazoa; Platyhelminthes; Trematoda; Strigeidida; Schistosomatidae. The record is from RNAcentral.